AAAGCUCAGCUGGGUAGAGCAUCCCGAUUUUAAUCGGGACGGUCGAAGGUUCGAAUCCUUCU
Molecule: transfer RNA, 62 nt
Filed under: Flavobacterium hercynium
Lineage: Bacteria; Pseudomonadati; Bacteroidota; Flavobacteriia; Flavobacteriales; Flavobacteriaceae
Rfam family: tRNA
About the family: Transfer RNA (tRNA) molecules are approximately 80 nucleotides in length. Their secondary structure includes four short double-helical elements and three loops (D, anti-codon, and T loops). Further hydrogen bonds mediate the characteristic L-shaped molecular structure. tRNAs have two regions of fundamental functional importance: the anti-codon, which is responsible for specific mRNA codon recognition, and the 3' end, to which the tRNAs corresponding amino acid is attached (by aminoacyl-tRNA synthetases). tRNAs cope with the degeneracy of the genetic code in two manners: having more than one tRNA (with a specific anti-codon) for a particular amino acid; and 'wobble' base-pairing, i.e. permitting non-standard base-pairing at the 3rd anti-codon position.
Source: Rfam by way of RNAcentral